CCAAACCAUGUGACGGAUAUGACGACAUAUAUUCCUAGUAGCCCGCACCAAUGCGGAGCAGAGAAGGUGUGGGACGCUGAAGAAUAUGCGGUAGUGACCAGUGCUACCACUACAGGUUAGAUCAUUGUUUAGGGCAGUCUCGAGCGUAUGAUCAUUCGAUCACUCUUUAAUCGUCAUUACAAAGAAGUUGGGAUGGAAAAGUCAUAGGAUAAUGCUGUAAUUCUUCCAAUGAGAACAUCUACAGAACCUAAAAAAUGUUGAUAAGGUGUCAAGGAAAACCCAUGAAGAUCAGAAACCUCUGCCAAGAAUUUUACAGACGAGGAUAAAGGCUCUUCUAGACUUUCCAUGGGGCAGAAAGGGAGGUUGACUAUGUGAACCAUUCUCUUCAGUGUUUCAUCCUAAACACUAGCACCAUAGUUUUGCUAUGAUGUGCAGUGCACAAUUGGAAAAAACAGGGUGAACAGGCCUCAAAAUGUCACCAGACAAAUUAGGAAUUCACUGAACCUGCCUCAGAAAUAGGCCUUAUUCCGGGCAGUGUGUACCCUAACUAAAAAGGCAGCCUUCAAACCUUUAGAGGCACAAAGUGAGACUCAGGCUUUAAAAAUUCAAAAGCACUUUAAAUAUUCAAAAAUGCUUUUCAAGGCAGAAAGUGACUGGAAACCCCAGUCUCAAGAAGGCAAAAUCAAUACAACAGGCCUAAAUGUAAAGAAUUUAUUAAAUAACAAAAGAGGCACAAAAAUGGAACAACAAGGUAGAAAAAGCAAGCCUAUCCGAAGGCUAUCCAAAGCCACAAUCCAAAAACAAGAAUAAAAACAAAGUCCCUCAACCAGAAAAAAUUGAAAACAAUACAGGUUGACCUCCUGAACGCCUUGGACAUAGGAUUUUCAGGGAGGCAUUUUGCCCUGGAAGUUCUAAGGGGUUGAGAAGGGACACCUUUAUGCCCGGUGGAACACUAAGGGCAUUAGGCAAAUCCCAGCACACCUAGGUUGACCUCCUGCAGGGGCUGAAAGACUUGACAUUAGAAUUUUCCGGGGGGCAUUUUGCCAUUUAGUCUUAUAGUAGCUGAGAGGGGAUCAUUUAUGCCUUGAGCAGAACUGAGGGCCCAAUCAAUAAUGCUCUAAGGGACCUUUAUUCAUUCUUAGCCUGAAUAUAAAGGCUGACGGCAGUUCCUCAGCAAUAACAUAAUGGUGGUCCUGCCUCGUGGGGCUUAACCUAUAAAAACUUAAUAUAUGUAAUGAUGAACACAUAUACACAAUACAAAAACACUAAGUAGCAUUUAAAAUAAAUAGUUUUUGAGAAAAAUGUUUUCCCUCCAUUUUGCUUCCUAAGUUACAGUAAAAACCUUUACAAAAAUGAAAUAUAUUGCAAUAUACUCUAAAAUAUGUGAUCAUAAAUUUCAAUUUAAUGUAAAAUAUAUGCAGUUUAAAUACAUAUUUUUAAGAUUAUAUCCAAAAUAUAAUGAAUCAUACAUUUUCCUUAAUAUAUUGUAACUAACAUAUUUCUAUAUAUAUUGUCGAGACAUGCAAUAUAGUGCGCCCAGCCUCAUAUUUAUCAAAGAUUUCUCAUGAUGUACCUUUCAACCUGGGAAAAGAUGUAUACAUGCUUUCCAGUGAAUCCAAUUGGAACUUCCGGCAGCUUACUAUGAGUUGUUCAAGUAAGUAGACAUGUCACCAUAUGUUGGCUGCAACAUAUUCCAUGCUUAAACAGACUGUAAGUUUGGCAUUUUUAACAUUUCAAGAAAAAUGGUAAAAAAAAGUUACAUUGCUACCAAUAUUUGUUUCAACAUUACCCCAUUAGCUUGUGGGAAAGAGUAAAUCUACUGUCAGGUUAACUGUCUUAACUAUAAAUGGGUCUGGAAUAUUAGAGCACCUGUUCACAAAUGGUCUAUUUGUAACUGAAGACAUCAAAAGCAUCCAUGUUACCAUUUGGACAAGAACAGUUGGCCCUGUGCAAAAGCCCUCAGUUUGAAGGUUCUGUCAUAAAAUCUAAUUCCUAAAUAUGUGGGUUCAUACAAAAUAUUGAAAAGACUGGGCAAAUUACUUAUAGGUUGACUUAACUAUUGCAUUUGUAUAUGAUUUAUUUAUUGCAUAUUUCAUAAGUGACAAAUGUUAUUUUUUUUUCUCCAUGAGUCCCUGUUUUCUUUCUAGUGACGGUUGAUUGUGCACCAAAAAAUGAUA
Long non-coding RNA from Erpetoichthys calabaricus (reedfish), 2177 nucleotides. RefSeq lists it as uncharacterized. NCBI's taxonomy places the organism in Eukaryota, Metazoa, Chordata, Cladistia, Polypteriformes, Polypteridae. The transcript has 3 exons. The record is from RefSeq and is a predicted model, not a curated record.